AUGUCGGCCCCCGGCCCCCGGCCCCCGGUUGUCCACCUCGGCGUAGUAGCAGGUGGUGAGCGCGAAGUCGCCGAGCCACGGCAGCCACCCCUGCGGGUCGAUGAGGUCGCCGAUCUCCGACUGGAUGUAGAGGGUGCGGGAGUGCUCCUUCCACGGCCGCCCCAGGAACGUCCGGAGCCUGCCGAUGUGGUCCUUGAACUCCGGGUGCGGCUCGAUGGUGCAGUUGUGGAUGACGAUGCCGCCGGCGGAGUGCCUCUCCUUGCGCCCCUGCGCCGUGAUGAUGUUCUGCUGGUUCUCCAUGCACUUGCGCACCUGGAGGACGCAGUUCUGGAACACCACCUGCGCGUUGCCGAAGAUGAAGUCGAUGGUGCCGCUCACGGUGCAGUCGCGGUAGUACUGCCGGCUCGUGUGCGUGUAGAGCGUGUCCUGGUACCCGUCGAACUGGCACUCGUAGAACACCGACUGGUCGCUCUGCACCCUCAGCGCCACGGCCUGGUGGUUCUUGGCGCCCGCCGUGUUCUCCACCGUGAUCCCGCGCAUGAAGAAGCCGUUGCCGAUCGCCUCCAUGGUGGCCGUGUCCUUGGUGGUGAUGUUCAUCAUAAAGUUCUUGUCCCCCGUGAUGACCGUCUUGCCGGCCCCGUCGCCGAUCAUGACGAGGUUCGUCACGUUGCGCGCCACGGACACGUACUCCUUGUACGUGCCCUCCUUGACGUGCAUCACGUACGUGUCCUCGCUCUUGAGCGGCACCUUGGCCAGCGCCUCGUUGAUGGUCUUGUAGUCGCCGCUGCCGUCCGCCGCCACCGUCAUGUCCGGCUUGAAGUCGGGCUCGCUGGGAGACACCUCCAGCAGCCUCCGCUUGGAGUCCGACAUCCACCUGGGCGCGCCGUCGUGCCCGAGCAGCCGCCGGCUGAAGAUGGACAGGUCCAGGUUGGCGAUGGUGUCCCCGAACUCGUCCACGAUGGACAGGAUGUUCUCCGUCAGCUCCUGGGAGACGUUAAGCGCCUUGCGCAUCUUGGCGGAGGCGUCGGUCGUGGUGUUGGCGAAGCCAUCAAGGCAGGUCUCCUGGUACGUGAGCGCGGAGGUGAGCCACGUCUUGAGGUCGUCCAUGGCGUGCUUGAAGUUGGUCAUCUCGAAGCCGCCGAGCUGGUCGAAGGUGGUCUUGAGGUCGUCGAUGGCGUAGUGGAGCAUCUCCUUGCAGUUCUUGAGCGCGCCCGACGUGCGUGGGUCGUGUUUGAGCUCGUUGAGCAGGCUGGACUCCUGCACGGCCUUCUCGAUCCGCUCCGAGGUGGCCUUGAAGAUGGCCUUGGCCAGCUCCGUGCCUCCGUCGUGGUCGUCGCAUUGCCGGCCGUCUCCCCCAGCGUCUUCUCGCACGCCGCCUUGUAG
Molecule: ribosomal RNA, 1383 nt
Filed under: Triticum aestivum (bread wheat)
Lineage: Eukaryota; Viridiplantae; Streptophyta; Magnoliopsida; Poales; Poaceae
Description: partial small subunit ribosomal RNA
Source: RNAcentral